UCGCCUGUUUAUCAAAAACAUGGUCUCUUGAAUUAUUUAUGUAGGAGAUUUAACCUGCCCACUGAAAAGUGGUUUGAAGGGCCGCAGUAUUUUGACUGUGCAAAGGUAGCAUAAUCAUUAGUCUUUUAAUUGAGGGCUGGAAUGAAUGGUUGGACGAAGUGAAAACUGUCUUAUUUUAAUGUAAAAUUGAAUUUAAAAUUUAAGUAAAAAUGCUUAAAUAUGGUUAAGGGACGAGAAGACCCUAUAGAGUUUAAUAUUCAUAGUUUUAAUUGAGUUUAAGAUUAAUUUUUAAUUAAAAUGAAGUUUAUUUAAUUGGGGUGAUUAGAAGAUAUAUUGAACUCUUCUUUAAAUUAAAUAUUAUAAGUAGAUGGAUGAUCCAUAAAUAAUGAGUAUAAGAUUAAAUUACCUUAGGGAUAACAGCAUAAUUCUUUUUGAGAGUUCAAAUCGAGAAGGGAGAUUGUGACCUCGAUGUUGGAUUAAGAUUAGUUAUAGGUGUAGAUGUUUAAUAACUGAGUCUGUUCGACUUUUAAAUUCUUACAUGAUCUGAGUUCAAACCGGAGA
Molecule: ribosomal RNA, 561 nt
Filed under: Toxoderopsis taurus
Lineage: Eukaryota; Metazoa; Arthropoda; Insecta; Mantodea; Toxoderidae
Description: partial 16S ribosomal RNA
Rfam family: Bacterial large subunit ribosomal RNA
Source: RNAcentral